Non-coding RNA from Suillus discolor, 69 nucleotides. Lineage: Eukaryota; Fungi; Basidiomycota; Agaricomycetes; Boletales; Suillaceae. The record is from the annotation of a RefSeq genome assembly.
GUCUUAGCUAAGUGGUUAAUGCAACAGAAUCUAAAUCUGUCUGUGUGGGUUCAAAACCUGCUGAAGAUG